UGGGGUGUGAGGUUCAGGUAAGCUUCUAUCUUCUUUGGUGCGAACAGAGGAAGAGACCAAUCUCCUCUCGGAUGAGAGACCUAGAACUGCCCUAGGAUUUUUGGGUGAGGAAAAAAUCAAAGAGAAGAGAGUCUUCAUUAAAUUUUUCUUCACCAUCCAGUAUCCUUCUCUAAUCCAUCUUCAAAAUCAAAAAGAUUUGAGGUGAUCGAAGAAGAAGAUCCAAUUAGAUCUGUCAUCAGAAGCCGACUAUGCGAGCUAGUAUUCCCUUGAAGGGCUGAUCGGUCCGAGGGCUUCAUGUGGAUCAUCCGUAGAGGUCAGAUACUUGUGUGGCUACAAUAAAUCAAAGAAAACUUUCAGAUCUAUAUUCUUGAUUAUGAAAUUUGACUAUCCAUGCUCAGAUAUUAAGUUUGAAACUCUAGAAGUAGUAGAUUAGAUCUAUUACUAAAUGCAGUUUUUGGUUCACAUGCUUGUCAUUUUAGAUUCAGAUUUUUAUGUAUAUAAAUUCAUGUCAU
RNAcentral lists this long non-coding RNA (512 nucleotides) under Elaeis guineensis (African oil palm). RNAcentral's name for it is "long non-coding RNA (EGUI_LNC073932)". Lineage: Eukaryota; Viridiplantae; Streptophyta; Magnoliopsida; Arecales; Arecaceae. The record is from RNAcentral.